Podarcis lilfordi (Lilford's wall lizard) is the source of this 68-nucleotide non-coding RNA. Lineage: Eukaryota; Metazoa; Chordata; Lepidosauria; Squamata; Lacertidae. The record is from the annotation of a GenBank genome assembly.
GUGGUAGCUGAGUAGUAGAGCAUCUGCCUUGCAUGCAGAAGGUCACAGUUCAAGCCCCAGCAUCUGCA